Molecule: long non-coding RNA, 390 nt
Organism: Pan troglodytes (chimpanzee)
Lineage: Eukaryota; Metazoa; Chordata; Mammalia; Primates; Hominidae
Exons: 2
Source: RefSeq, a predicted model, not a curated record
GGGCUUGGGGCUGUCUGGGCUACAGAAGUGAUCAGGUAAUGCACAUUCCUGAUGUUGCCAGGAAUGAGUGAGCAGAGCUUGCCUGCCUUGGACAGUCAGGAGAGAGCGAUGCCAGAGAGAACGUCCAGAGACUCACAGGAGACCAUGCAGAGGAUUCGCUGGCUGGCCAGGCUACCAACAAAUGGGGCCAGAGUGGCAAAGACCCCAAUCACUUCCGACCUGCUGGCCUGCCAGAGAAAUACUGAGCUUCCUUUUCAAUCUGCUCUCAGGAGACCUGGCUGUGAGCUCCUGAGGCCAGGGACAUUUGUUGACCUACAGUUACUGAAUUCUAUAUCCCUAGUACUUGAUAUAGAACACAUAAAAAUGCUUAAUAAAUGCUUGUGAAAUCCA